This 341-nucleotide unclassified non-coding RNA is filed under the name soil metagenome. RNAcentral describes it as "partial contains 5.8S ribosomal RNA, internal transcribed spacer 2, and large subunit ribosomal RNA". The stretch from base 1 to 119 matches the Rfam family "5.8S ribosomal RNA", at positions 35 to 154 of the family's 154-position model. The record is from RNAcentral.
GAUGAAGAACGUAGCGAAAUGCGAUACGUAAUGUGAAUUGCAAAUUCAGUGAAUCAUCGAGUCUUUGAACGCACAUUGCGCCCCCUGGUAUUCCGGGGGGCAUGCCUGUCCGAGCGUCAUUGCUGCCCUCAAGCACGGCUUGUGUGUUGGGCCCCGUCCUCCGAUCCCGGGGGACGGGCCCGAAAGGCAGCGGCGGCACCGCGUCCGGUCCUCGAGCGUAUGGGGCUUUGUCACCCGCUCUGUAGGCCCGGCCGGCGCUUGCCGAUCAACCCAAAUUUUUAUCCAGGUUGACCUCGGAUCAGGUAGGGAUACCCGCUGAACUUAAGCAUAUCAAUAAGCGA